UACGUAGGGAGCAAGCGUUGUCCGGAUUUACUGGGUGUAAAGGGUGCGUAGGCGGCCCUGCAAGUCAGAAGUGAAAUCCAUGGGCUUAACCCGUGAACUGCUUUUGAAACUGUAGGGCUUGAGUGAAGUAGAGGCAGGCGGAAUUCCCGGUGUAGCGGUGAAAUGCGCAGAGAUCGGGAGGAACACCAGUGGCGAAGGCGGCCUGCUGGGCUUUAACUGACGCUGAAGCACGAAAGCGUGGGUAGCAAACAGG
RNAcentral lists this ribosomal RNA (253 nucleotides) under uncultured bacterium. RNAcentral describes it as "partial 16S ribosomal RNA". It matches the Rfam family "Bacterial small subunit ribosomal RNA", at positions 524 to 776 of the family's 1533-position model. The record is from RNAcentral.